CAGGGGAGCUUCAAAUUUUGUCCUUAUCAUUUGGUGCUCUGGCUGGUUACAGUUCCUAUAGCUAUACAUGCAGGCGGCUGAUCAAGGGCGGUGCCAACAAGGAUGGAUAGAAGAUGUGCAAGCAGGUUAUCGCGAGGAGCUGGGAAAUAUUUUCUUGAUGUUCACUUCUGAAUUUGUUCUUACCUCCGUAUGUGCUAGCGUAUAAAAAAAUUCGGAUCUGUGAGGUACAGGCUUUGUCUGCAGUGACCAGAUUUUCCAUUUGGCAUGCUAUAUAACUUCACCAGUUCAUACUGAACUAAGUUACUCAUGUCAUCCUGUGCAACAGCUGCUGGUGUUGAAUAUGUUCAUGCUAUACAAGACUUCUUAAAUCAAGAAACUCUUUGUUUUUUCUGUGUUAUAUACUACACAAGUUGUGAAGUUUCAAGUGCAUAACCUUGCUGCUUUUUUUUCACUCUUCUCAACCUUACAGUGUUGCAGCAGAUAUUCAGACAAUGCUUGAAGAUACGAUGUUGAAUUUUGAGAAGGAAAGGUAACUCAAGCUUGUGUGAAGUGUGAAAUAGUGCUCAUAGUUACCAGUUUUCUUUUUGCAAGAACAAUUCCGCUUUAAACCUUAUCUGGUUUCUGAAAAGUAAAAGUUCAUAUUUAUUUAGAUUGUAAACUCACUGUUCUAUGUUCAUGUGCAGGCAGGUUUUUCUGAAAGUACUGUCAAACACUUCAAUAAAGGUGUUCAAUUUAAAAUUCUUACAGCUUGAUAUUUACUGAUUUACAUACGUUAAAUGAUGACAAGUAAUUUGCAUUGUAUGUAGUUUUAAAGUUCAUUGAACAAGGAGUACACCAAACUGAAACAUUCUGGUCAUGUUGUAGCAAUAAUAUUUCUGAUUUUUUAACUUAGCAGAAUAUAUUCACAUUUGGAUUAUAUCUAACUAUUACCAUGCAAGUUACAGACUCCCUUCAUUUUUUUGAGGGGCAGACUCCCUUCGAUUUUUAAUCCCAUAGUAAUACGAACAAAAUAAAUACUAGCUGUCCCUCUUGAAGGAUCCAACUUGUAAGGUCCAGCUCAUUCUUAUAGCCUUUCAAAAAACCCGUUGUCCCCUUUAUCAUCUCUUGGUAAUUCUGCUAUUUCCUUCGCCGAAAAAACAAUCCGUCUAUUUAUUGUGGCAUGAGUUUGUGCAUUAUCUAUUCUCCAAUCUGAGGCAUCUUAGGGCUCGGAGGAUGUUAUAGAGGCAUCAGAUGGUUGGAUUGAUCGGCAAGGACACUUAAGUCAUGUUUCUCAUGACUAGGCUUUAAUCUCUAUAUUGAACCAAACCUACCUGUUCUGCCAAGAGAUCUUGUACGUCCAAGGUUUACGAUAAUUUGCAAUCUCCUAUCUCAGCCUAAAGAAGGAUGAAAAGAGAUGAUCUAAGAAAAUAGGAGACAUGGAUGUCCUUCCAGGUGAUUUCAGUUUAUUGAUGCAUGCCAAAUCUCCUAUGUGAUGUCUCUCGGAGAGAAACGAAGGAAGGGACGCAAGGGAGCAAAUGAAGAAAAGGGUGUGUUGUUGCAGAAGCCUGCAUAGCCCUAUUUUGCCCCUUUUUUAUUUUUCUCAGAAGACACAACUGUAUCCCCCUUUUCCUACUUUUCCCAGAUUACACUGAGCUACUUACGUUUGUUCCCUGUUGCAAAACAAGUUGG
Molecule: long non-coding RNA, 1668 nt
Organism: Lolium perenne
Lineage: Eukaryota; Viridiplantae; Streptophyta; Magnoliopsida; Poales; Poaceae
Source: RefSeq, a predicted model, not a curated record